This 2913-nucleotide ribosomal RNA is filed under the name Pectobacterium carotovorum. RNAcentral's name for it is "bacterial LSU rRNA". It matches the Rfam family "Bacterial large subunit ribosomal RNA". The record is from RNAcentral. Lineage: Bacteria; Pseudomonadati; Pseudomonadota; Gammaproteobacteria; Enterobacterales; Pectobacteriaceae.
GAGGUUAAGCGACUAAGCGUACACGGUGGAUGCCUAGGCAGUCAGAGGCGAUGAAGGGCGUGCUAAUCUGCGAUAAGCGUCGGUAAGCUGAUAUGAAGCGUUAUACCCGACGAUACCCGAAUGGGGAAACCCAGUGUGUUUCGACACACUAUCAUUACGUGAAUACAUAGCGUAAUGAGGCGAACCGGGGGAACUGAAACAUCUCAGUACCCCGAGGAAAAGAAAUCAACCGAGAUUCCCCUAGUAGCGGCGAGCGAACGGGGAGGAGCCCAGAACCUGAAUCAGUUUGUGUGUUAGUGGAAGCGUCUGGAAAGUCGCACAGUAAAGGGUGAUAGUCCCGUACACAAAAAUGCACAGAUUGUGAGUUCGAUGAGUAGGGCGGGACACGUGACAUCCUGUCUGAAUAUGGGGGGACCAUCCUCCAAGGCUAAAUACUCCUGACUGACCGAUAGUGAACCAGUACCGUGAGGGAAAGGCGAAAAGAACCCCGGCGAGGGGAGUGAAAUAGAACCUGAAACCGUGUACGUACAAGCAGUGGGAGCCUUGAUUAAUCAGGGUGACUGCGUACCUUUUGUAUAAUGGGUCAGCGACUUAUAUUCUGUAGCAAGGUUAACCGUAUAGGGGAGCCGCAGGGAAACCGAGUCUUAACUGGGCGUUAAGUUGCAGGGUAUAGACCCGAAACCCGGUGAUCUAGCCAUGGGCAGGUUGAAGGUUGGGUAACACUAACUGGAGGACCGAACCGACUAAUGUUGAAAAAUUAGCGGAUGACUUGUGGCUGGGGGUGAAAGGCCAAUCAAACCGGGAGAUAGCUGGUUCUCCCCGAAAGCUAUUUAGGUAGCGCCUCGUGAAUUCAUCUUCGGGGGUAGAGCACUGUUUCGGCUAGGGGGUCAUCCCGACUUACCAACCCGAUGCAAACUACGAAUACCGAAGAAUGUUAUCACGGGAGACACACGGCGGGUGCUAACGUUCGUCGUGAAGAGGGAAACAACCCAGACCGCCAGCUAAGGUCCCAAAGUCAUGGUUAAGUGGGAAACGAUGUGGGAAGGCACAGACAGCCAGGAUGUUGGCUUAGAAGCAGCCAUCAUUUAAAGAAAGCGUAAUAGCUCACUGGUCGAGUCGGCCUGCGCGGAAGAUGUAACGGGGCUAAACCAUGCACCGAAGCUGCGGCAGCGACACUUAGGUGUUGUUGGGUAGGGGAGCGUUCUGUAAGCCGUCGAAGGUGGCCUGUGAGGGUUGCUGGAGGUAUCAGAAGUGCGAAUGCUGACAUAAGUAACGAUAAUGCGGGUGAAAAACCCGCACGCCGGAAGACCAAGGGUUCCUGUCCAACGUUAAUCGGGGCAGGGUGAGUCGACCCCUAAGGCGAGGCUGAAAAGCGUAGUCGAUGGGAAACAGGUUAAUAUUCCUGUACUCGGUGUUACUGCGAAGGGGGGACGGAGAAAGCUAGGUUAUCCGGGCGACGGUUGUCCCGGUUUAAGCGUGAAGGUGGAUGACUUUGGUAAAUCCGGGUCGUCAUUAACACUGAGGCGUGAUGACGAGUCACUACGGUGAUGAAGUAACCAAUGCUACGCUUCCAGGAAAAGCCUCUAAGCUCCAGGUAACAUCAAAUCGUACCCCAAACCGACACAGGUGGUCAGGUAGAGAAUACUCAGGCGCUUGAGAGAACUCGGGUGAAGGAACUAGGCAAAAUGGUGCCGUAACUUCGGGAGAAGGCACGCUGAUGGUAGGUGAAGUGACUUGCUCACGGAGCUGAAAUCAGUCGAAGAUACCAGCUGGCUGCAACUGUUUAAUAAAAACACAGCACUGUGCAAACACGAAAGUGGACGUAUACGGUGUGACGCCUGCCCGGUGCCGGAAGGUUAAUUGAUGGGGUCAGCCGCAAGGCGAAGCUCUUGAUCGAAGCCCCGGUAAACGGCGGCCGUAACUAUAACGGUCCUAAGGUAGCGAAAUUCCUUGUCGGGUAAGUUCCGACCUGCACGAAUGGCGUAAUGAUGGCCAGGCUGUCUCCACCCGAGACUCAGUGAAAUUGAACUCGCUGUGAAGAUGCAGUGUACCCGCGGCAAGACGGAAAGACCCCGUGAACCUUUACUAUAGCUUGACACUGAACCUUGAGCCUUGAUGUGUAGGAUAGGUGGGAGGCUUUGAAGCGUGGACGCCAGUCUGCGUGGAGCCAACCUUGAAAUACCACCCUUUAAUGUUUGAUGUUCUAACGUGGGCCCGUGAUCCGGGUUGCGGACAGUGUCUGGUGGGUAGUUUGACUGGGGCGGUCUCCUCCCAAAGCGUAACGGAGGAGCACGAAGGUUAGCUAAUCCUGGUCGGACAUCAGGAGGUUAGUGCAAAGGCAUAAGCUAGCUUGACUGCGAGAGUGACAGCUCGAGCAGGUGCGAAAGCAGGUCUUAGUGAUCCGGUGGUUCUGAAUGGAAGGGCCAUCGCUCAACGGAUAAAAGGUACUCCGGGGAUAACAGGCUGAUACCGCCCAAGAGUUCAUAUCGACGGCGGUGUUUGGCACCUCGAUGUCGGCUCAUCACAUCCUGGGGCUGAAGUAGGUCCCAAGGGUAUGGCUGUUCGCCAUUUAAAGUGGUACGCGAGCUGGGUUUAGAACGUCGUGAGACAGUUCGGUCCCUAUCUGCCGUGGGCGUUGGAAGAUUGAGAGGGGUUGCUCCUAGUACGAGAGGACCGGAGUGAACGCACCACUGGUGUUCGGGUUGUGAUGCCAAUUGCAUUGCCCGGUAGCUAAGUGCGGAAGAGAUAACCGCUGAAAGCAUCUAAGCGGGAAACUUGCCUCGAGAUGAGUCUUCCCUGGGUACUUGAUACCCCUGAAGGGCCGUUGAAGACUACGACGUAGAUAGGCUGGGUGUGUAAGCGUAGCGAUACGUUGAGCUAACCAGUACUAAUGACCCGAGAGGCUUAACCUUA